AUGUGCCUCCAGCAGCCUAUGGCCGUGUGCAUUGUCAUGAGAGUCUCUGCUUCUCCAUUCUCAGGAAAAGGCAAAGGUGUGUUUUGUGAGAAACUCCCUAGUUUGGAUAGACAGAUUGCUGAGAUGUGUUUCGAUGAAGCUAACAGAUGUGGGAAACCAUUAGUCUGUGGAUUCUACAAGCGUUUUGAUCCAGCUUUACAAUUCUUGUACCAGAAAGUCGGUGAGAGCCGCGCGCUAGGGAGGAUACAUCGGAUAGCAGUCGUUAGCAGCAUCUAUCCACCAGCUUCUCCCAGUUUGCUAAGGAAGUCAGGUGGGAUCUUUUAUAACGCUGCUGUGCAUGACGUGGACAUCGUCAGUCUCUUGUUGGGAGAGAGUGUUCCAGACACAGUCUUUUCUUUGGGUCAUGCGUUCUGCUCAGAUGUGGCCUCUUUGAAAGAUGCAGACAGUGUCAUGGUCAGCAUGAAGUUUCCUAGUGGGGCCAUUGUUAGUUUGGAUAUCAGUCAACACUGCACCAAAAGCUGUGACCUGAGAGUGGAGGCUCAGAACCUAGAAAAAGUUUGCUUUCCUAUGAGAUUAUUAUUGUCAGUAUUGCAAAGAUCUCUAAGACUGGCGGACUUCUUAGGGGUUCAUGGUUCUCAAGGAACUUUACGGGUCGAUAAUCAGAAUCCCUUGGGGAUUACUGAGCGUGGAACCUCCGUGUCCAUAUACUCACACACACAUGUCGAUCGGUACCAAGAAGCAUAUAGAGGACUCUUUCGACACUUUCUCAGAACCCUUAAAGGAAAAGAACCCCCAACUGUCCCCAAAGAACAGUUUCUCUGGACCAUUCAGGUGGCUGCAGCAGCUGAGCAAUCCUGGCGGAAUGGGUCAGCUGUCGACUUCAGCAAUGAAGGUUGAGAUAUAAAUGCGAUGUCGGUUAUCAAGAUGGAAAUACUGUGAAGAGGGAAUAACUGACUUAAGUUUUGCUGAAGAAGACAACCUUAUACCUAUUUCCAUUUUCAUUAAUUUAAAAAAAUUAAUUGCAGUGUUUUGUGACUUUAUUUUCACUGGAAACCAUGAGCUGGGAACUUUGGGGAAAUGUGUGUAUAUGGUAAUGGUGUAGCAAGUAAUUUUCUUAGGAUGUUGUAUUAGGCCCAAAAAUGAAGCUUGAAAGGCAUCAUUCUGUUAGUGUGUAUUUUUCCUUGUGUUCGAAGGAGGCAUUUAGGUGAGAAAGGCUGACAUUUUGUUUUUAAAGAACACGUAUGCAUUAUCCAUCCUGAGAAACAUACCAGCCAUUUACUUCCCACACUGUGGCAACAAAACAUGCUUCUGUGAAAAUAGGUUUGUUGCCCCCGCAUGGAUAUGUGGUCUGUUUUGGGGGGCGAGGGCGGGGAGGAAGGAUGGAGUGAUGCUCCUUUUUCUUUUGAGACGGGGUGGGACAAACAGUCUAAGAUAGGGCUCUUUUCCCCCUCAGACAGUCAAAUCUAGAUGAGAUUGUGUAUAAAUGUUACAGAAAAAGAUAGUGCCUUCCAAAAUGGGCCACUCUGCUUUAACUCAAGUUUGGGGUUAUCUUUUUUAUUCUUAUGUCAGACUUACUGCAGAUGUUUUUAUAUAUUUGAAGAUUCUUGUCUGUAAUUUCUCAUAUCCUACUUUUUCAAAUAAAAGUAAGUUUUCUAAC
This 1657-nucleotide long non-coding RNA is filed under the name Vombatus ursinus (common wombat). RNAcentral describes it as "lncRNA (ENSVURG00010023855.1)". The record is from RNAcentral. Lineage: Eukaryota; Metazoa; Chordata; Mammalia; Diprotodontia; Vombatidae.